RNAcentral lists this ribosomal RNA (471 nucleotides) under uncultured bacterium. RNAcentral describes it as "bacterial SSU rRNA". It matches the Rfam family "Bacterial small subunit ribosomal RNA", at positions 29 to 506 of the family's 1533-position model. The record is from RNAcentral.
AACGAACGCUGGCGGCGCGCCUAAUACAUGCAAGUCGAGCGAGAAGACGUAGCAAUACGUUUGUAAAGCGGCGAACGGGUGAGGAAUACAUGGGUAACCUACCCUCGAGUGGGGAAUAACUAGCCGAAAGGUUAGCUAAUACCGCGUACGCUCCUUGGACUUCGGUUCAGGGAGGAAAGCGAUACCGUGGGUAUCGCGCUCUUGGAUGGGCUCAUGUCCUAUCAGCUUGUUGGUGAGGAACGGCUCACCAAGGCUUCGAUCAGUAGCCGUCCUGAGAGGGAGCACGGCCACACUGGAACUGAGACACGGUCCAGACUCCUACGGGAGGCAGCAGUGGGGAAUUUUUGGCAAUGGGCGAAAGCCUGACCAAGCAACGCCGCGUGGGUGAUGAAGUAUCUUGGUACGUAAAACCCUUUCGGCAGGGACGAACCCAAUGACGGUACCUGCGGAAGAAGCCCCGGCUAACUCCGU